AUUGAACGCUGGCGGCAUGCUUUACACAUGCAAGUCGAACGGUAACAGGCCUUCGGGUGCUGACGAGGGGCGCACGGGUGAGUAAUGCAUCGGAACGUGCCCAGAGGUGGGGGAUAACGCAGCGAAAGCUGUGCUAAUACCGCAUGUGAUCUGAGGAUGAAAGCGGGGGACCAGGCAGCAAUGUUUGGCCUGGCGCCUUUGGAGCGGCCGAUGUCGGAUUAGGUAGGUGGGGGGGUAAAGGCCUACCACGCCGACGAUCUGUAGCUGGUAUGAGAGGACCGCCAGCCACACUGGGAGUGAGAAAGGGCCCAGACUCCUGCGGUAGGCAGCGGUGGGGAAUUUUGCACGAUGGGGGCGUGCCGAAUCCAACAAUGCGGCGUGAAGGAAGAAGGACUUCGGGUUGUAAACCGCUGAUGUACGGAGCGAAAAGGCUCUGGCUAAGACCUGAGGAUGAUGACGGUACCGGAAGAAUAAGCACCGGCUAACUACGUG
RNAcentral lists this ribosomal RNA (492 nucleotides) under uncultured bacterium. Its description in RNAcentral is "partial 16S ribosomal RNA". It matches the Rfam family "Bacterial small subunit ribosomal RNA", at positions 29 to 507 of the family's 1533-position model. The record is from RNAcentral.